This 433-nucleotide ribosomal RNA is filed under the name uncultured bacterium. RNAcentral describes it as "partial 16S ribosomal RNA". It matches the Rfam family "Bacterial small subunit ribosomal RNA", at positions 29 to 507 of the family's 1533-position model. The record is from RNAcentral.
AACGAACGCUGGCGGCAGGCCUAACACAUGCAAGUCGAGCGCGCCCUUCGGGGUGAGCGGCGGACGGGUGAGUAACGCGUGGGAACGUGCCCUUUUCUACGGAAUAGCCUCGGGAAACUGAGAGUAAUACCGUAUACGCCCUUUGGGGGAAAGAUUUAUCGGAAAAGGAUCGGCCCGCGUUGGAUUAGGUAGUUGGUGGGGUAAUGGCCUACCAAGCCGACGAUCCAUAGCUGGUUUGAGAGGAUGAUCAGCCACACUGGGACUGAGACACGGCCCAGACUCCUACGGGAGGCAGCAGUGGGGAAUCUUAGACAAUGGGGGCAACCCUGAUCUAGCCAUGCCGCGUGAGUGAUGAAGGCCUUAAGGUUGUAAAGCUCUUUCAGCUGGGAAGAUAAUGACGGUACCAGCAGAAGAAGCCCCGGCUAACUCCGUG